Molecule: ribosomal RNA, 302 nt
Filed under: uncultured bacterium
Lineage: Bacteria
Description: bacterial SSU rRNA
Rfam family: Bacterial small subunit ribosomal RNA
Source: RNAcentral
AGCGCACCCUUGUCUUUAGUUGCCAUCACUUAAUGGUGGGAACUCUAGGGACAGUGCCUGUGAUACCCCAGAAGAAGGUGGGGACGACCUCGUCUCAUCGGGGCCUUUAUGGGGGGGGCUACACACGUGCUACUGUGGCCGGCACAGAGGGCCGCAAACUCGCGAGGGAGAGCAAAUCCCACAAAGCCUGUCCUACUCCGGAUUGGACUCUGCAACUCCACUCCGUGAAGUCGGAAUCGCUUGUAAUCGCAAAUCAAAAUGUCGCGGUGAAUACUUUCCCGGGCCUUGUACACACCGCCUGU